UGGGGAAAUAUUGCACAAUGGGGGAAACCCUGAUGCAGCGACGCCGCGUGAGUGAAGAAGUACUUCGGUAUGUAAAGCUCUAUCAGCAGGGAAGAAAAUGACGGUACCUGAGUAAGAAGCCCCGGCUAACUACGUGCCAGCAGCCGCGGUAAUACGUAGGGGGCAAGCGUUAUCCGGAUUUACUGGGUGUAAAGGGAGCGCAGACGGUUGCGCAAGUCUGAAGUGAAAUCCCGAGGCUUAACCACGGGACUGCUUUGGAAACUGUGCGACUUGAGUAUCGGAGGGGCAGGCGGAAUUCCUAGUGUAGCGGUGAAAUGCGUAGAUAUUAGGAAGAACACCGGUGGCGAAGGCGGCCUGCUGGACGAAAACUGACGUUGAGGCUCGAAGGCGUGGGGAGCAAACAGGAUUAGAUACCCUGGUAGUCCACGCGAUAAACGAUGAAUACUAGGUGUUGGUGCCCCAAGGGCAUCGGUGCCGUCGCAAACGCAAUAAGUAUUCCACCUGGGGAGUACGUUCGCAAGAAUGA
RNAcentral lists this ribosomal RNA (526 nucleotides) under uncultured bacterium. Its description in RNAcentral is "bacterial SSU rRNA". It matches the Rfam family "Bacterial small subunit ribosomal RNA", at positions 354 to 897 of the family's 1533-position model. The record is from RNAcentral.